Molecule: long non-coding RNA, 417 nt
Filed under: Homo sapiens (human)
Lineage: Eukaryota; Metazoa; Chordata; Mammalia; Primates; Hominidae
Description: HSALNT0131091
Source: RNAcentral
CUCGUGCAGCCUGUGCUAACGAGCCCGGGUGCCGUCCCAGCUCCUCCUCCGCCCACUCCACUGUCUCUCUUUCGCCUGUGCAGUGGUUCCUGGCAAAACCUCUUAUGCCACCUCCCGACCAUCCCGGGAAGAUUUGGCGGCUGGAGCCCUGCGCAGGAGCUGUAGGUCUGGGCUGCGGAUUUUACCGCCCCUGCACAGAAGCCUGCAGCGUGGAGGCUCCCCUCGCGCUCGCCCAGACUCGGCUGCAGAAGGAGGACCCACCUCGCGUCUCCCCCGAGGCGCGCACCUCUGUCGCCACCCUCCACGCGCCUAGGAAGUUUUGAAGGUAGAGAAUCUGGGCCCCUCAACUUCCUCUGGACAUGAAUCAAACCGCAGGAGUCUCCAAUAGCGUCAGGUGUCCCCCGGGGAAAGGCCACA